This 1731-nucleotide long non-coding RNA is filed under the name Felis catus (domestic cat). Its description in RNAcentral is "somatostatin receptor 3 (ENSFCAG00000013748.6)". Lineage: Eukaryota; Metazoa; Chordata; Mammalia; Carnivora; Felidae. The record is from RNAcentral.
AUGUGGGGCCUGAGCAGUGUGUACCCCUCCCUGCACUGGGUAAGACUUUCUUCUAUUUGGGGUCCCAGGCCCUCUCCUGGGAGCCUGACUCUGAGCCCCGGGCGAUCCAGACCUCGGUCCGUCCCUCCGAGGGCCAAGAUCCGGGCCCAUCUGCCAGGAUGCUCUGUCUUUGAGGGGGAAGGCCGGUGCGCAGCUCUCCGGGCCCCACGCAGGCAGGUCGGCCCGCGGCAAUGCCCCUCCGGACUUCUCGUCCAGCAGAGCCGGGCCAGGCUCAGUCCUCCCAUCCCUGAGUCACAGAAGAGAACACCAGGCGCAGGGAAGGAAAGUGACCUACGCGAGGGUCACACCGCGAGUCUCAGCAGCCACAGGAUGGGAGCCCAGGCCUCCACACAUCCCGUCACGGGGCCCCGGGCACCGUGGGUGGCCUGCCCAAGGCGUCCCCACAGCUUCGGCCCCGUGCUUGGACCACGCUGGCCUCCCCGCGGGCCCCUACAGACAGCUGGCGUGCAGUGCGCCCGGCUUGCCCCCGGCUGUGGGCUCUCGGGGCAGGAACUGCCUCUGCUUGCUGGCCGUGCCGCUGGGCGGCCGCUCCUGCCCGCCGGUGCCAGGCCGUGCGAUGAGGCUGACCCGGCCGUUCAUCUCCUUCCCCUGCCCCCGCCCCCCUGCCGCCUCCUCACCGUCCUCCUCCCCCUCGUCCUCCCCGGUCUUCUCCGGAGGAGGCCCGGCAGAAGGCUCCUGACUGCGCACGCGGCGGGAAGGCCGCAGCAGGACCCUGCGGAAGCCCUGCUUGAAGCGGUAGGAGAGGAAGCCGUAGAGGAUGGGGUUGGCACAGCUGUUGGCAUAGGGCAGCGCCACCACCAGGAAAUAGAGGCCGAAGAAGGCGGGCUCCUCGGGCAGCGGGCGCACCACGUUGACGAUGUUGAGCACGUAGAAGGGCAUCCAGCAGAGGACGAAGAGCGCCACGACGGCCACCACCAUGCGCGUGACCCUGCGCUCCGAGUGCCGCCGCCGCUGGCACGAGGGCGCCCGCACCCGCCGCCCGGCCGAGCGCACCUUGACCACGAUGAGCAGGUAGCAGAGGCAGAUGACCAGCAGCGGCCCGAAGAAGCCGAGCGCGGCCGUGUAGAUGAUGAAGCCCGCGCGCCAGGCGGCCGCCGGCUCGGGCCACUGCAUGUGGCAGGUGCUCAUGCCGUGGGGCACACCCGAGAAGACCACCACGGGCAGCACCACCACGGCCGAGGCCACCCAGACGGCCACGCUCACCGUGCGGGCCACGGGCGCCGUGCGCCAGCGGGCGGAGCAGGCGGGACGGACCACGGCGAGGUAGCGAUCCACGCUCAUGACCGUGAGGCAGAAGAUGCUGGUGAACUGGUUGAUGGCGUCCACGGCCAUGACCAGGCGGCACAUGAGGGAGCCGAAGGGCCAGUAGGACAGGGCGUUCUGGGCCGCCAGGAAGGGCAGCCCCAGCAUGAAGAGCUCGUCGGCCAGCGCCAGGUUGAGGAUGUAGACGUUGGUGACCGACGGGCUGGCCGUGUGCCGCAGGACCACGUAGAUGACCAGCGAGUUGCCCAGCAGGCCCACCACGCACACCACCAGGUAGACCAGAGGGAUCAGGACACCGCUGACGGCCAGCCCCGCCACGCUCGGGGCCGCGGACACAUUCCCCAGGGCGACAUCCGGGGGCCAGGCCGAGGAGGCGUUCCCAGGCUCCCAGGCGGUGGGGGCCGAUGA